RNAcentral lists this ribosomal RNA (253 nucleotides) under uncultured bacterium. RNAcentral describes it as "partial 16S ribosomal RNA". It matches the Rfam family "Bacterial small subunit ribosomal RNA", at positions 524 to 776 of the family's 1533-position model. The record is from RNAcentral.
UACGGAGGGUGCAAGCGUUAAUCGGAAUUACUGGGCGUAAAGCGCACGCAGGCGGUUUGUUAAGUCAGAUGUGAAAUCCCCGGGCUCAACCUGGGAACUGCCUCUGAUACUGGCAAUCUUGAGUCCCGUAGAGGGGGGUAGAAUUGCAGGUGUAGCGGUGAAAUGCGUAGAGAUCUGGAGGAAUACCGGUGGCGAAGGCGGCCCCCUGGACGAAGACUGACGCUCAGGUGCGAAAGCGUGGGGAGCAAACAGG